AUGCCCCGUUUUGUUCCCCCGGUGGACUCACUGUACCAUCGGUACGCUCAAGCCCAGCGACGGUUCACGUGGGAGAGAGUCCGAACAAGGGCUGGCAUAAAGGUUCUACCAGAGGAACGGGAUCAGGAAGGGCUCCCCACUUGUAUCUAUGAGGCUAUGAUGGCAUGGAUGCAAUCGCACCUGAGACUUCAAGGAAUAACAGUCCGUUUGUCAUCUCGUGAUCUUCAAGUCAAAGAGCAAGCGUUGAUGGGUGGGGAGCUUGACAGGACGGUACGCUGUAUGACAGUGGUCACCAAAGUGGGUAUUCUUAGUGCGGAUGACUUUCAAAAUCAGAACCUUGCUGGCGUCAAAUAUGUGGUGGAGGGGGUCGUGUCAUUCUUCUCGCUGAACAAGCAGGCGAUCGAGUGUGCAGUCGAAGCAAUGCACAGGGGUCCACUGUUGCUUGUUUUCCACUGUGGCGAGAAUUACCACGAGUACGUGGGCAAAUACAAGGGCAAGCCAAUCCUCAGCUACGAGAAGUAUGUUCACGAGAAGAUGCUUACACAUGCUGUCAACUCCAUCGGCUAUGGUGUGGAGGGGUUCGUGCCAAACUGGGAAUUCAUGAACUCGUACGGCAGGAAGAUUGGACCGAGAGGCAGGCUGCUGCCGCAGAAUGCCAUACGCCUGUAUGGGAUGGGCAGGGUUCGCCCCGUGGUGCAUGCGGUUCCGGUGCAGGUUGCCGUCGUGGAUUCAAGGAAGAGAAAGAGGGAGAUCACAGAGGAAGUUGAUGACGACGAGGAUGAUGAUGAUGAUGCUCGCGAGCCUCCGUUGAAGAAGCCGAUGCUGGAGAAGAUUGAUUGGAUGGACAUAGAUUAG
Molecule: ribosomal RNA, 855 nt
Filed under: Triticum aestivum (bread wheat)
Lineage: Eukaryota; Viridiplantae; Streptophyta; Magnoliopsida; Poales; Poaceae
Description: partial small subunit ribosomal RNA
Source: RNAcentral